ACGCUUUUCCUAAAGCUUAAGCCAUGCAUGUCUAAGCCUACGAGGUAGCAAUACUCUCUGAAUCUGCGAACGGCUCCGCACACCAGUUGUAAACCACAGCGCGCUUCCCCGGUCGGUGGCCCCUUUACUGGGGCCAAUGCCGGCUGGGGUACACGGAUAGCCGUGGUAAUUCUGCAGCUAAUACGUCAUAAUCACCACCGGAGCUACACGGGGGUGGCCCAUGUGGCCGCUUCACGCUCCGGGGGGCGGUACUGCUUUGGCUUGGUUUUACCAUGGAAGGACAGCACUCGUCAGACUGCCACCCAACCCCGAAGCGCGAACGGAGGCUCGUCCUCUCGCCGCGCACCGGGGGGCAGCGCUCGGCUGGUGCUUCUGACCUAUCAACUAUACAGCAGCCUAAGGGACAUGCUAUGGUUUCUACGGGUACAGAGGAUUAGGGUUCGAUCCUGGAGAGUGGGCCUGAGAGAUCGCUCACACUUCUAAGGAAGGCAGCAGGCGCGCAACGUUCCCAUUGGGCAUCGCCCGAGGGCGUUAGGGGACAUAUGAAUA
This 549-nucleotide ribosomal RNA is filed under the name Comatricha tenerrima. RNAcentral describes it as "SSU rRNA". It matches the Rfam family "Eukaryotic small subunit ribosomal RNA", at positions 28 to 485 of the family's 1831-position model. Lineage: Eukaryota; Evosea; Eumycetozoa; Stemonitida; Stemonitidae. The record is from RNAcentral.